AAGAAAAAGGGAGUAAACAUACUAAUAGACCUCUAUUUGAUACAUGUGUCAAUAAAAAACCUUAACAUCUUUUGUCUCUUGUUGGUUGUUUCCUUCUCUAAAACAGCAAGCUUGGGCAACAGAUGAUGUAGCUCAGAUUUAUGAUAAGUGUAUUACAGAACUGGAGCAACAUCUACAUGCCAUCCCACCAGCUUUGGCCAUGAACCCUCAAGCUCAGGCUCUUCGAAGUCUCUUGGAGGUUGUAGUUUUAUCUCGAAACUCUCGGGAUGCCAUAGCUGCUCUUGGAUUGCUCCAAAAGGCUGUAGAGGGCUUACUAGAUGCCACAAGUGGUGCUGAUGCUGACCUUCUGCUGCGCUACAGGGAAUGCCACCUCUUGGUCCUAAAAGCUCUGCAGGAUGGCCGGGCAUAUGGGUCUCCAUGGUGCAACAAACAGAUCACAAGGUGCCUAAUUGAAUGUCGGGAUGAAUAUAAAUAUAAUGUGGAGGCUGUGGAGCUGCUAAUUCGCAAUCAUUUGGUUAAUAUGCAACAGUAUGAUCUUCACCUAGCGCAG
Molecule: small RNA, 550 nt
Filed under: Pongo abelii (Sumatran orangutan)
Lineage: Eukaryota; Metazoa; Chordata; Mammalia; Primates; Hominidae
Description: retained intron
Source: RNAcentral